This 301-nucleotide ribosomal RNA is filed under the name uncultured bacterium. RNAcentral describes it as "partial 16S ribosomal RNA". It matches the Rfam family "Bacterial small subunit ribosomal RNA", at positions 509 to 809 of the family's 1533-position model. The record is from RNAcentral.
CAGCAGCCACGGGAAUACGGAGGGUGCAAGCGUUAAUCGGAAUUACUGGGCGUAAAGCGCACGCAGGCGGUCUGUCAAGUCGGAUGUGAAAUCCCCGGGCUCAACCUGGGAACUGCAUUCGAAACUGGCAGGCUAGAGUCUUGUAGAGGGGGGUAGAAUUCCAGGUGUAGCGGUGAAAUGCGUAGAGAUCUGGAGGAAUACCGGUGGCGAAGGCGGCCCCCUGGACAAAGACUGACGCUCAGGUGCGAAAGCGUGGGGAGCAAACAGGAUUAGAUACCCCGGUAGUCCCUGUCUCUUAUAA